CGCCUGACUCUCCAGCCUGUCCCUCAGCCCCUCUCCCUCUCUCUCUUGUUCCUCCCACCAGGGAAAACUGCUCCCCCUUUUAUCCAAGCCUCUCAGCCAAUCCCAGCUCAGGGCCCUUCCCAGGGUUUUGCUAACGGCUCUAUUUCAAAACUUUGCUGGGGUUACAUCACUCCCACUUCCAACAGGGCUGCUUCCAAAACAGCUUCACUUGCUCUCAGAGCCUACAGUGUCCCCACUGGGACAAACGCUGUCUCUCUGCCAGGCAGCCCUUCCCAUUCUGUUCAGAACAGCAAGAUUUUUUACCUCCCUGCUUGCCAUCUGACACCUCCAGGGAAAGAAUUCUACCUGAUCUACACAUCAAAGAGAUACUCAGCACAGCUCACAAAGACACUCUCAUGGACCCAGAGGGACAGUCUUCCAUUUUCAGCUCCCUCUGUGCAAAAAUGAAAUUUAUUUCCUACCUAUGCAGACUUUUGACCAUCUUGAACCAUCUCCCCAGAGCCUGACAAAGGGACUUUGAUCCCGAAAGCUUGCAGAAAAGGGCAUUUUUCUUGCAAUUUCCCAGUUUGUCUAAUAGAAGAUAGCAUUUUGGAACCAAGAGUUCUAGUUUUUUGUAUAUAUUUAAAGGAAUGGACACAGAGCAGUGAAAUAACAUUUAAAGGAAUAUUAAUUAAUAAUUAUCUAAUGUUUGCAAAUAGUUAAAGAAGUAGUGGUGAUUUACAUUUAUUUUUUAUAAAGCUUUUUAAGAAGGAAAAAAGAUUAUUACUAAUAAAACAAGUGCUGUUUGAAA
Long non-coding RNA from Alligator mississippiensis (American alligator), 790 nucleotides. RefSeq lists it as uncharacterized. The record is from RefSeq and is a predicted model, not a curated record. The transcript has 2 exons. NCBI's taxonomy places the organism in Eukaryota, Metazoa, Chordata, Crocodylia, Alligatoridae.